Molecule: long non-coding RNA, 1417 nt
Filed under: Salmo salar (Atlantic salmon)
Lineage: Eukaryota; Metazoa; Chordata; Actinopteri; Salmoniformes; Salmonidae
Description: lncRNA (ENSSSAG00000102895.1)
Source: RNAcentral
UGCCCCUCUAACCACUAGGCUACCUGCCCCUCUAACCACUAGGCUACCUGCCCCUCUAACCACUAGGCUACCUGCCCCUCUAACCACUAGGCUACCUGCCCCUCUAACCACUAGGCUACCUGCUGCUCUAACCACUAGGCUACCACCCGCCCCAACGCUCUAACCACUAGGCUACCACCCGCCCCAACGCUCUAACCACUAGGCUACCUGCUGCUCUAACCACUAGGCUACCACCCGCCCCAACGCAUAGUCAGAACUACCCGUCUGAUUAUUCCACAUUUAGCUCUGAGUUAUACGGUAAGUAACUACAUGCUGUUCAUGAUCAGUAACAUCAGUUGAUCAUGUAGUUUCAGAUACCUGAGGGUGGCCUAUCCAUUUGGCAUGUAGCUAACUAAGCAAACCUUUCAUUUAGUUGGCUUCAUCAGAGAUGAGGCUUUUGGAAAGACCUUGACAUCAGCAAGUCCUCGUCCUGGUGAAGUGGUCAGUUGGACUUCUGUCAUCACCACUAUAGAUGGCAAGCUAAUCAAGUUCAAGUUUAUCCCCAGGAAGUUAGCUCGUUAACCAGCCCAUAUUGACCCGAUCUGUUAUUAGCUAGCUAGCCAAUUUGACGUGAUCCAUCAAUCAAUGAAGCCCAUCUAUAAUUUCUGUCAGCAGCAAUAGUGACUAAACACUUAAAAAAAACAAUGUUGAGAAGUGGAUAAUGUUAGCUAACUUUGCUAGGUAGGCCUACGUUGGUUGGAGAAAGAAGUACAGUAGGUCUAUUUACCUCUGUUUAGCCUGUAACAAGUUUAUACCGGUAGCUUGUAAAUAUUAUCAGCUAACUACAUUGGUAAAAUGAGCCCUUCUGCUGCUUGACAGGAAGAGCCCACAAAGGACAGGAAAUGAACCUAAACCACUCAUUCUUGUCGGGUAUAGUUUACUUUUAUAUCACUCAAAUAUCCAAUCAAUGGUGGCCAAUAUUGAGAGAGAUCGUCAGGCUACGUAUCUGAAAUGGCCAUGAACAGCAUGCAGUUACUGCUGUAUAACUGAUACAGCAGAAUGUGGAAAUAUCUGACAUUUGUAUUUCUAUGCUCUUCCAGAGGUGACGACACCAAACGCUCUGCACCUUAUUGUGACGUUUUACUGAUAACCUAUUCUAAACAUUCUAGCCAGUCCAAGGGUCGUUCCAUGAAAUGAGUGCCCUAUGAUUAUUUUAAGUAGAAAUAGUGUGCAAAUAUUGAAUUUUAAAAGCCUGUUAUAUUAAAUGAAAUGCCCUUUAAAACCCACUGGGCACAGACGUCCAUUCAAUGUCUAUUCCACAUUAGUAACCCAUACAUGACUUCUCUAUGGAAAGGGGAGACCCUGAAGGUAACCCAUACAUGACUUCUCUAUGGAAAGGGGAGACCCUGAAGGUAACCCAUACAUGACUUCUCUAUGG